GCUUAGCUCAGUUGGUUAGAGCACCUGACUGUUAAUCAGGGUGUCGAAGGUUCAAGUCCUUUAGC
Molecule: transfer RNA, 65 nt
Filed under: bovine gut metagenome
Rfam family: tRNA
About the family: Transfer RNA (tRNA) molecules are approximately 80 nucleotides in length.
Source: RNAcentral